Molecule: ribosomal RNA, 487 nt
Filed under: uncultured bacterium
Lineage: Bacteria
Description: bacterial SSU rRNA
Rfam family: Bacterial small subunit ribosomal RNA
Source: RNAcentral
AGAGUUUGAUCCUGGCUCAGGAUUAACGCUGGCGGCGUGCCUAACACAUGCAAGUCGAACGAAAUAUCUUCGGAUAUUUAGUGGCGAACGGGUGAGUAAUGUACAGGUAGUGUACCUUCGUACUGCGAAUAACAAGCUGAAAAGUUUGCUAAUACGGAAUAGUUUCCUUCGAGGGCAUCCUUAAAGGAAUAAAGAUUUAUCGUGCGGAGAUCAGCCUGUAUCCUAUUAGUUAGUUGGUGGGGUAAUGGCCUACCAAGACGACGAUGGGUAACUGGUCUGAGAGGAUGAGCAGUCACAUUGGAACUGAGAAACGGUCCAAACUCCUACGGGAGGCAGCAGUGAGGAAUUUUGCGCAAUGGGGGAAACCCUGACGCAAGCAACGCCGCGUGAGUGAUGACGGCCUUCGGGUUGUAAAGCUCUGUCGUGUGUGACGAGUAGGGACGGUAACACACAAGGAAGCCUCGGCUAACUACGUGCCAGCAGCGGC